Molecule: non-coding RNA, 24 nt
Filed under: Arabidopsis thaliana (thale cress)
Lineage: Eukaryota; Viridiplantae; Streptophyta; Magnoliopsida; Brassicales; Brassicaceae
Source: RNAcentral
UGUGUCGUUUGGAGCUGUUGUGUU